Molecule: ribosomal RNA, 253 nt
Filed under: uncultured bacterium
Lineage: Bacteria
Description: partial 16S ribosomal RNA
Rfam family: Bacterial small subunit ribosomal RNA
Source: RNAcentral
UACGGAGGGUGCAAACGUUGCUCGGAAUUAUUGGGCGUAAAGCGCACGUAGGCGGACCAUCAAGUCGGUUGUGAAAUCCCUCGGCUUAACCGAGGACGUGCAUUCGAAACUGAUGGCCUUGAGUUCGAAAGAGGAUCGCGGAAUUCCCGGUGUAGAGGUGAAAUUCGUAGAUAUUCGGAAGAACACCAGUGGCGAAGGCGGCUCACUGGACUGGUAUUGACGCUGAGGUGCGAAAGCGUGGGGAGCAAACAGG